GUGAAGGCGAUGAUGUUGAGAACUACCUAUUUUAUGAGGGAAUGGAAAAUCGUCCCUUGUGAUUAGAAAUUACCAAUGGAUCCUUCUGAGCCUUUUU
Molecule: small nucleolar RNA, 97 nt
Organism: Arachis stenosperma
Lineage: Eukaryota; Viridiplantae; Streptophyta; Magnoliopsida; Fabales; Fabaceae
Source: RefSeq, a predicted model, not a curated record